RNAcentral lists this small RNA (188 nucleotides) under Acinetobacter ursingii. RNAcentral describes it as "Aar sRNA". It matches the Rfam family "Aar sRNA". The record is from RNAcentral. Lineage: Bacteria; Pseudomonadati; Pseudomonadota; Gammaproteobacteria; Moraxellales; Moraxellaceae.
UUAACGUGAUUUAACACUACUUAACGUGAAUACCAAUGAAUUUGGUCAGUUAUAAAAUUACUAUAAGUCAUGAAAGUUAUGAAUUUCCCCAAUUUCAUGACAUUUCUCCUUAACCGAAGCUGUUUAUAACAGAUUCGUUGUUCUGCGUAAUGAUCACCCCAAUCAUUGCGCUUUUUUUUGUUUAAAAU